UCUGGUGACAAUGGCAAGGAGGUCACACCUGUUCCCAUGCCGAACACAGAAGUUAAGCUCCUUAGCGCCGAUGGUAGUUGGAUUUACG
RNAcentral lists this ribosomal RNA (88 nucleotides) under Salmonella enterica subsp. enterica serovar Senftenberg. The record is from RNAcentral. Lineage: Bacteria; Pseudomonadati; Pseudomonadota; Gammaproteobacteria; Enterobacterales; Enterobacteriaceae.